GUCUUCAACCUCCCUGGUUUCGACAUGGGUUCAAAACCCCGAUUCGGUCGGUUAAGAAGUAGGAGCGAAUUCGUCUAUCACAGGUAGUCGCUCACCCGCAGGUCUUUCUCAUAUAUAAGCUAAGCCAGGCCAGGAGGGAAUCAAGAAUAUGAAUGUUCAUCUCAAGUAGGGGGGCUUCUAAGCACCAGUAAGGAAGUAAGAAUCCCCAUCGCUGGAGCACUACAGGCCUAACUUAUUAUUCGAUAUAAUGAGAAGGACCUUUAUUGAACUAGAACCCUUAUCCCCAACUGAUCUACCCAGUAAUGUGAUGAGUUCCGACCUCGAAGGCCCAAUCCUUCGUCGUACGGAAUGAGUAUGACUUGGCUACAAGGGAAAGAAUUAAUCCAAGAGAUCUAGCUUCUUGGAGGACCGGUUGUUAGCCCCAUCAUCAUCCCGAGCUUUUCACCGUCGGUCCCAUGACUGCACGAGCCCUAUGAACUAGCUCUUCCGUGUCCGCCGAACUGUACGAUGGAGGGCGUUCAAUUCUAGUAUUGAAUUUUCCCAAGCGGGUGAGCACUGUUAAUGUCUCUAGUAGAUAGACUCUACAAGGAACCUGGCUCAGAGGAAGAAGGACAUUAGUUUGAAGUCUCGAGUCUCUAUCCCCUCUCUAGUGCUGCUUAAAAGGACCGGGUUCCCUACUACCGUGUCAUGGCGAUAUCUGCCUCGAAACCCUCGGCUUGCCUCGUCUCCUAGUGGUGGUUUCCCGUGGAGCGACCGUGAGUCAGGUUCAGGUGGGAGAUAGUACCUCUCCUUCCUCUGCCGGUAUUGAUGGUACUGGAUAUGACGGAAAUUGUAAAGUGAACUUGAACUCCCGUUUUGGAGUUUCUUAGAGUGAUGUUCGAGAUCGCCUCUGUGUGGUUCACCCUAAGUAGCUAACCGAAUCGGAACUGACUGAAAGGACUGCAAAGAGGAUAUAACUGUUUAGAGCCAGAACACUAGAUGGAGAAUAGGCUGCAAGAAAAUAGGUUAUUGUCUCUUUGAAGAGUAUCAUCCAUGGCGAAUGGUAUCGUAUAUAAGAGAAGGGCCGCGC
Lupinus albus (white lupine) is the source of this 1069-nucleotide non-coding RNA. The record is from the annotation of a GenBank genome assembly. Lineage: Eukaryota; Viridiplantae; Streptophyta; Magnoliopsida; Fabales; Fabaceae.